This 27-nucleotide non-coding RNA is filed under the name Bombyx mori (domestic silkworm). Lineage: Eukaryota; Metazoa; Arthropoda; Insecta; Lepidoptera; Bombycidae. The record is from RNAcentral.
UAGACAGUUUGACGACAGGUCGUUGUA